AGCUGUCUCUCUCUUCUGAGGGGUAGGCAGGUGCUUCCGAAUCGCGGAAUGUAGGUGCUCAUAAGCUGGAGACCCACGGAAAGAACCUAGAAGCUCCGAGCGGUUGCAGACAGCACUGCAUUGAGCCAACGACUCCUGCUCUACUGAUGGUGAUUCCACAGCUUUGUGAGGAAUAAGUUAAGAUGAAGUCAGUGAAGUUUUCUGCGAAUUGCAAACAUUGUAGCAAGUGUUACCAAUUUUAUUAGUUCGACCACGACUUCACUCCUAUAUUUUGAAAAGCUGUUUGCCAAAUUGAACAUAACAAUAAUGGGAAAACAGAUUUUGCUCAAUCAGACCCAGCUCAGUCGGAACCUAGGUUUAUUGUGGAUCUGAUAUAAUUCUAGCACAAAACAAGGAAACCUAGCAUUUAAUACCACCAGAAAAUAUACAAUUUCUGGUAGGCUUUUUUAGAAUAUUGAAAAUUGAUUAUAGGCGGGCGCGGUGGCUCAUGCCUGUCAUCGCAGCACCUUGGGAGGCCUAGGGGGUCGGAUCACCUGAGCCUGGAGGUGAGGAUCAGGCUGAACCUGAGGUUAGAGACCAGCCUGGGCAAGAUAGCGAAACCCCGUCUCUACAAAAAGUACAAAAAAUUAGCUGGGCAUGGUGGCAGCAGGCCUGUAGUCCCAGCUACUCGGGAGGCUGACAUGGGAGGAUUGCUUGAGCUGGGGAGGUUGAGGCUGUAGGGAGCGGAGAUCCCUACACUCCAGCCUGUGAGACAGAGACCCUGUCUCAAAAAAAAAAAUUUUUUUCAUUUGCCGCAUUCUAAGGGGU
Molecule: long non-coding RNA, 807 nt
Filed under: Homo sapiens (human)
Lineage: Eukaryota; Metazoa; Chordata; Mammalia; Primates; Hominidae
Description: non-protein coding lnc-PAPPA2-1:3
Source: RNAcentral